RNAcentral lists this ribosomal RNA (431 nucleotides) under uncultured bacterium. Its description in RNAcentral is "partial 16S ribosomal RNA". It matches the Rfam family "Bacterial small subunit ribosomal RNA", at positions 338 to 795 of the family's 1533-position model. The record is from RNAcentral.
CCUACGGGAGGCAGCAGUGGGGAAUUUUGGACAAUGGACGCAAGUCUGAUCCAGCCAUGCCGCGUGCGGGAAGAAGGCCUUCGGGUUGUAAACCGCUUUUGUGGAAAGGUCGGUACCUGAAGAAUAAGCACCGGCUAACUACGUGCCAGCAGCCGCGGUAAUACGUAGGGUGCAAGCGUUAAUCGGAAUUACUGGGCGUAAAGCGUGCGCAGGCGGUUAUGCAAGACAGAUGUGAAAUCCCCGGGCUCAACCUGGGAACUGCAUUUGUGACUGCAUAGCUAGAGUACGGUAGAGGGGGAUGGAAUUCCGCGUGUAGCAGUGAAAUGCGUAGAUAUGCGGAGGAACACCGAUGGCGAAGGCAAUCCCCUGGCCGUACUGACGCUCAUGCACGAAAGCGUGGGGAGCAAACAGGAUUAGAUACCCUUGUAGUC